AGUCCGGCUUUGAAUUUAGAAUCGAGAACAUCAUCGAAACAGGACGGGACAGUCGAAAUUCAAGUAGUUCAAUCAAAAUGUGAUUUGUUACGUUUUUAUACGAGUUUGGCGAUAUCUUCAUUAGCAUAAAAUAUGGAUUUUCUACAUCUUUUGGACAAGUCAAGUACCAUUCUAUUUAUCAAGCCGGGCUCACAAUUUUGGCCCUCAUCGAGACGAAAAACAAACAAAAUUAAACAUUUAAGCUGGAAACACACUAGUAUGGACAAAAUUACUGUUAUGUAGCUUUACUCAAAAAAAUAACCUUUUUUAAUUUAUUUCAACCUCAUAAAACUGACGCUCUAUAUCUCUAAAACUGAACAGAAUAGAGAACAAAAUGACCCAAAAUGACGACAAAAAGGAGACAACCAAAAUAAAAAUAAAGGAAGAUAUCAACAGAGUUUAAAAUAGUCGAAUGAAUCAAAUUAAACACCGUUCAAGAA
Sitophilus oryzae (rice weevil) is the source of this 479-nucleotide long non-coding RNA. RefSeq lists it as uncharacterized. Lineage: Eukaryota; Metazoa; Arthropoda; Insecta; Coleoptera; Curculionidae. The record is from RefSeq and is a predicted model, not a curated record. The transcript is spliced from 3 exons.